CACUGCAGCAGUGUGCAGUGAGUUCUAUGCAAUUUUAAUGCUGUAAAUAUUUUUGAUAUAUAUGUUUAAAUUCAUAUUCCACUAGAUUUCUCAUUUUGCACUCUAGCAUUUUCUUAAUCUCUUUCUACAUGAAAUCCCAUAGGUUAGGUUAUGUGCUAAAGUAUAGGUACAGAAAGCUAAUUCAAUAGAGCAAACGUUACGUCCACCCUUUAUUGUUAUAAUUUGUAUAGGAAUGGUCAAGUUCAUUGUUUUGUUCUGUGUAGAGCGCUGGGUAGUACCAGCUUCCUUGUAACUUUUAAUUAGACUGUCUAAUAAGCAGUCUGGCUUGACCAUAAGUUCAGAACCUUUAAAUAGAGAUGCAAAAAGCCAAGAAACUUCAGUUCAUAGUAAAGACACAGAAGAGAGAACUCCAGUUAACGUCAAGAUAUUUCUCGUAUUGAUUGCAACCAAGUGUACUUGUCUUAUAGCCUCCAAUUGUAUUUUAUCUCGGAUUUUGGACCGUGGGAUGACGGAAUAAAGUUCCACAUAAGCCACACUAAAGUCUGUGAAUACAUUUCUUUUGGAGUGAGAGUAUUUGUUAGCCGAAACUCCGUCCGUUUAUCGAGGAUAAAGGGCGGCAGCCACA
This is a long non-coding RNA of Lytechinus variegatus (green sea urchin), 625 nucleotides long. RefSeq lists it as uncharacterized. The transcript has 2 exons. NCBI's taxonomy places the organism in Eukaryota, Metazoa, Echinodermata, Echinoidea, Temnopleuroida, Toxopneustidae. The record is from RefSeq and is a predicted model, not a curated record.